RNAcentral lists this ribosomal RNA (460 nucleotides) under uncultured bacterium. RNAcentral describes it as "partial 16S ribosomal RNA". It matches the Rfam family "Bacterial small subunit ribosomal RNA", at positions 338 to 795 of the family's 1533-position model. The record is from RNAcentral.
CCUACGGGAGGCAGCAGUGAGGAAUAUUGGUCAAUGGUCGAGAGUCUGAACCAGCCAAGCCGCGUGAAGGAUGACUGCUCUAUGGGUUGUAAACUUCUUUUAUAUGGGAAUAAAAUGUUGCACGUGUGGGAUUUUGUAUGUACCAUAUGAAUAAGGAUCGGCUAACGACGUGCCAGCAGCCGCGGUAAUACGGAGGAUCCGAGCGUUAUCCGGAUUUAUUGGGUUUAAAGGGAGCGUAGUCGGAAGCGGCAAGUCAGCGGUAAAAUUGCGGGGCUAACCCUCGCCGAGCCGUUGAAACUGGUGUUCUGGAGUGGGCGAGAAGUAUGCGGAAUGCGUGGUGUAGCGGUGAAAUGCAUAGAUAUCACGCAGAACUCCGAUUGCGAAGGCAGCAUACCGGCGCCCAACUGACGCUCAUGCACGAAAGCGUGGGUAUCGAACAGGAUUAGAUACCCCAGUAGUC